UACUUGUAUUGUGCUUUUCUACCUCUAAGGUAGGGCUGGGUGAUAUAUUGCAGGUUUGUCUCUGUGCGAUACAGAAAAUGACUAUAUCGUUAUAUUCGAUGAUAUGUUCUCACAUCGUUGCUUUCAGCUGCGUGCAUUACAUUACUGGCGUGUCUCACUCCUUCUAGUCUGUCCUCCUCACAGAGACGUGAAACAAGCCCGCCUUCUUACUUACGUCACAUACUCUCGCGAGUCUAGCGUCACACGCUCUCGCCGAUCAGAGAGGUAGCAGCAUGGCUAACAUUAGCUGAGGCAGGUGGAGCUUGUGACAAUACGAGAGAGAGAUGGUGCCAAACUUAUCACAAAUGGAGGAAGAACAAUAAAUGUCCAACAUAAAGAGCAGGGGGUCCAUCAUCUGGUGGUUUGGCUCCAAGUGGGAAGAUAUUCAGCAGACAACAGCAACAUAGAAUCAUCAUACUGCUGUCAUUAUAUGUGUCAAGUGUUCAGUCAACAUAGAAUCAUCAUACUGCUGUCAUUAUAUGUGUCAAGUGUUCAGUCAACAUAGAAUCAUCAUACUGCUGUCAUUAUAUGUGUCAAGUGUUCAGUCAACAUAGAAUCAUCAUACUGCUGUCAUUAUAUGUGUCAAGUGUUCAGUCAACAUAGAAUCAUCAUACUGCUGUCAUUAUGUGUCAAGUGUUCAGUCAACAUAGAAUCAUCAUACUGCUGUCAUUAUAUGUGUCAAGUGUUCAGUCAACAUAGAAUCAUCAUACUGCUGUCAUUAUAUGUGUCAAGUGUUCAGUCAACAUAGAAUCAUCAUACUGCUGUCAUUAUAUGUGUCAAGUGUUCAGUCAACAUAGAAUCAUCAUACUGCUGUCAUUAUGUGUCAAGUGUUCAGUCAACAUAGAAUCAUCAUACUGCUGUCAUUAUAUGUGUCAAGUGUUCAGUCAACAUAGAAUCAUCAUACUGCUGUCAUAUGUGUCAAGUGUUCAGUCAACAUAGAAUCAUCAUACUGCUGUCAUUAUAUGUGUCAAGUGUUCAGUCAACAUAGAAUCAUCAUACUGCUGUCAUUAUGUGUCAAGUGUUCAGUCAACAUAGAAUCAUCAUACUGCUGUCAUUAUAUGUGUCAAGUGUUCAGUCAACAUAGAAUCAUCAUACUGCUGUCAUUAUAUGUGUCAAGUGUUCAGUCAACAUAGAAUCAUCAUACUGCUGUCAUUAUAUGUGUCAAGUGUUCAGUCAACAUAGAAUCAUCUUACUGCUGUCAUUAUAUGUGUCAAGUGUUCAGUCAACAUAGAAUCAUCAUACUGCUGUCAUAUGUGUCAAGUGUUCAGUCAACAUAGAAUCAUCAUACUGCUGUCAUUAUAUGUGUCAAGUGUUCAGUCAACAUAGAAUCAUCAUACUGCUGUCAUUAUAUGUGUCAAGUGUUCAGUCAACAUAGAAUCAUCAUACUGCUGUCAUAUGUGUCAAGUGUUCAGUCAACAUAGAAUCAUCAUACUGCUGUCAUUAUAUGUGUCAAGUGUUCAGUCAAGGCCAAGGCAAAAUAUCCUGAUAUAUAUCAUGUAUCGCAAUAUGGCAUAAAAAUAUUGCAAUAUUAAUAAAAGCCAAUAUCACCCAGUCCUAAUUCAAUUAUUAGUUUGUUAAAUGUAUUCACUUAUUAGUUUGUGAAAUGUAUUCACUUAUUAGUUUUCCCCACAGGAUGCCCACACUUGCUGUUUGGGGAACAGUUGGCGGCGUAGCCUUGGUUCACUUCACAGACUGGCGAAUGUUCCUGGACUAUGUGCCCUACAUCAGUGGCAAGUUCAAGAAGGACUAACCAGUUUGUUGUGGGAGAUGAUGAACCAGGACUGUUUUGCACUGAACUCCAUCCAACUGUCAUCUUCAUCCUGCUUGUGCAACAGCGUGACGACCUCCACCUUCAUCACUGCACUUGGGCUUCAAUGCUCCGUCCAAAUGAAAGAAUAGGAAAACACAGACAAUGCACAGACUUUUUGUUUUCCCUGCUGCAGUUGGAGCUUCUUAUGUUACUCGUUAGUUGCUGUCUGAUUUAAAUGUUCAGCUCUGUACUUCAAGCAAAACUGUUUUUGAAGAGUAAAAAGUAUGUGAAACACCUCA
Long non-coding RNA from Nerophis ophidion (straightnose pipefish), 2088 nucleotides. RefSeq lists it as uncharacterized. The transcript has 2 exons. The record is from RefSeq and is a predicted model, not a curated record. NCBI's taxonomy places the organism in Eukaryota, Metazoa, Chordata, Actinopteri, Syngnathiformes, Syngnathidae.